UGAGAAAGCCCAGGAGAGCCCACUGGUGA
Molecule: unclassified non-coding RNA, 29 nt
Filed under: Mus musculus (house mouse)
Lineage: Eukaryota; Metazoa; Chordata; Mammalia; Rodentia; Muridae
Description: oocyte_clustered_small_RNA6447
Source: RNAcentral